This 497-nucleotide ribosomal RNA is filed under the name Nocardia farcinica. Its description in RNAcentral is "bacterial SSU rRNA". It matches the Rfam family "Bacterial small subunit ribosomal RNA", at positions 487 to 988 of the family's 1533-position model. The record is from RNAcentral. Lineage: Bacteria; Bacillati; Actinomycetota; Actinomycetes; Mycobacteriales; Nocardiaceae.
CGACCACAAGGGGGCCUAGUGCCAGCAGCCGCGGUAAUACGUAGGGUGCGAGCGUUGUCCGGAAUUACUGGGCGUAAAGAGCUUGUAGGCGGUUUGUCGCGUCGUCCGUGAAAACUUGGGGCUCAACCCCAAGCUUGCGGGCGAUACGGGCAGACUUGAGUACUGCAGGGGAGACUGGAAUUCCUGGUGUAGCGGUGAAAUGCGCAGAUAUCAGGAGGAACACCGGUGGCGAAGGCGGGUCUCUGGGCAGUAACUGACGCUGAGAAGCGAAAGCGUGGGUAGCGAACAGGAUUAGAUACCCUGGUAGUCCACGCCGUAAACGGUGGGCGCUAGGUGUGGGUUUCCUUCCACGGGAUCCGUGCCGUAGCUAACGCAUUAAGCGCCCCGCCUGGGGAGUACGGCCGCAAGGCUAAAACUCAAAGGAAUUGACGGGGGCCCGCACAAGCGGCGGAGCAUGUGGAUUAAUUCGAUGCAGGUUGUAAACCUCUUUCGACAGG